Molecule: long non-coding RNA, 1191 nt
Filed under: Durio zibethinus
Lineage: Eukaryota; Viridiplantae; Streptophyta; Magnoliopsida; Malvales; Malvaceae
Description: long non-coding RNA (DZIB_LNC000090)
Source: RNAcentral
UUAAACAACUUUAGCAUGUCUUUGUUCUCUCACUAUGUCAUCUGAUUCAAGUUUGUCUAAUUUUAAGACAAAAGUUAAGAGAGGACUACUUAGCAAAAUGAGGUUUCCUUUCUUACUGUAAGAAAAAUUAUAGCGAGUUGUCUAUUGGUUGAACCUAAUGUCUGCAAAAGGUCAAAAAUAAAUUAAGGACAAUGACCGAACUAAAGGUGAGAGAGUAUUUCAUGGUAUGGAUGAACGCUCAGCGAUAAUUGAUUUUGACCUUCAAAACCCUUAUGUUGCUAUAAACAUGGUCAAUUCAAUCCCUUCGUCUAACCUUCUUUUUUCUUUUUGAACUCCACUACCAAAUACUUCUACCUAACCAUCCAAUCAUCUGAACUUAGAUUCUAAUUAUAGGUCGAUGUCUAACUCUAACGAGUUUUUUGCUUUUGCAUCAUCUUGAUCUUUCUUAGACAUCAUAGAGGUUCCUAUUCCAUCUUAGGCUCAAUGACUUUUUUAAACUUCAAAGGCCAAGCAAACCAAUAAGAAGGCUUAUGGAACUAAGUAGGCUCAGAGUUCUGAAAAGGUUGAAGGGUCUAACUACGGUGGGGAGGAAGAUGGAAAUGGUGAGGGAGCAAAAGAUUUCAACAAUGAUAACGACUCCUUUCUUCCCUUUUAUACUCCUAAUUCGAGUGAAGUUCCUCUCAUAAUUGAUGGUUCGCUUCACGAUCCUUUACUUUAUUGUCUUUGUCUCUUGAAUAUUCGAUUUCGAGUGUUGAGGUAUCGGACCAUCCCCGACGCCUUUAUGUUGGGGCAUUUGCUUUGACUUUGGUUAGAAAAACUGCUUUCCCUCCUUAUUUCUUCUUUUCCGAAUGAAGUGACUCACUCUUGUGUGUCAAGAAGGCUCUAAAACAUUUUCUUCUUGCUUUAGUUGUUGUACCAGAAAAAGAAGCAAGUGCUGACUUUUCUUUCUUCCCUGGAUGAGCUACCGUGGGUGUGGGAAGAGCCUUUUCAAUUUACAACUUCCAUUCUUGUUGUAAGGAUUGGCAGUCUGGGAAGUGGCUUAUGUGGUUGUGUUUUUAUUCUUAAUAAUUUUUUUAAGUCGCAAGCUCGAUUUAAUCUUUUUUAACUCAUAAAGUUAAUUUUCUUUUUGUCUUAUUGUAUUGAAUUCUAUUGUGGUAUAAAUAAGGCAUUACAUAAGCAACGAAAGUACAU